Non-coding RNA from Clostridium sp. CAG:253, 173 nucleotides. NCBI's taxonomy places the organism in Bacteria, Bacillati, Bacillota, Clostridia, Eubacteriales, Clostridiaceae. The record is from Rfam.
AAAAUUCUUCAGGGCGGGGUGUGAUUCCCCACUGGCGGUAAAGUCCGCGAAUCGAUUGUAUCAGGUGUGUUGAGGAUAUCUGUUGGAUUGCUCAAAACCAAAACAUUGAUUAUAUCGACUGAAUCGGUGAAAUUCCGAUACCAACAGUAUAGUCUGGAUGAGAGAAGAUUUUA